This 1218-nucleotide ribosomal RNA is filed under the name uncultured Rhizaria. RNAcentral's name for it is "SSU rRNA". It matches the Rfam family "Eukaryotic small subunit ribosomal RNA", at positions 577 to 1805 of the family's 1831-position model. The record is from RNAcentral.
CGGUAAUUCCAGCUCCAAUAGCGUAUACUAAAGUUGUUGCAGUUAAAAAGCUCGUAGUUGGAUUUCUGCGGGGACGGAGCGGCCGGUCGCAACUUGCGACUCGAGCUAGCGCUUUCCCCGCAUCCUGCCGCGAACCGUGCUACCAUUAGUUUGGUGGCGCUGGGGAUCGGCUCGAUUACUUUGAGAAAAAUAGAGUGUUCAAAGCAGGCCACACGCCUUGAAUAAGUUAGCAUGGAAUAAUGACUAAGGACUUUGGUUCUUUUCGUUGGUGUUCGGGACUGAAGUAAUGAUUGAUAGGGACAGUUGGGGCGGUCCGUAUUCCAAAGCGAGAGGUGAAAUUCUUAGACCUUCGGAAGACGAACAGCUGCGAAAGCGUUCCGCAAGGAUGUUCCCUUUGAUCAAGAACGAAAGUUGGGGGAUCGAAGACGAUCAGAUACCGUCGUAGUCUCAACUAUAAACUAUACCAGCUAGGGAUCGGCCAACGUUUAAUUUAUCGACUUGGUCGGCACCUUAUGAGAAAUCAAAGCAUCUGGGUUCCGGGGGGAGUAUGGUCGCAAGGCUGAAACUUAAAGGAAUUGACGGAAGGGCACCACCAGCCGUGGAGCCUGUGGCUUAAUUUGACUCAACACGGGAAAACUUACCAGGUCCGGACAUAGUAAGGAUUGACAGAUUGAUAGCUCUUUCUUGAUUCUGUGGGUGGUGGUGCAUGGCCGUUUUUAGUCGGUGGAUGUGAUCUGUCUGCUUAAUUGCGUUAACGGACGAGACCCCAGCCUGCUAAAUAGCGCGGCCGAGCUUUGCUCGGUGCGAGCUUCUUAGAGGGACCAUGAUGCGCGAUAGCACAAGGAAGUUUGGGGCAACAACAGGUCUGUGAUGCCCUUAGAUGUUCUGGGCCGCACACGGGCUACACUGGCGCCUGCAACGAGCAUAUCAGCUGGCCCGAGAGGGUCUUGGCUAAUCUUUGGAACCGGCGCCGUGCUUGGGAUUGACCAUUGCAAUUGUUGGUCAUGCAACGAGGAAUGCCUUGUAAACGCGAGUCAUCAGCUCGCAUUGAAUACGUCCCUGCCCUUUGUACACACCGCCCGUCGCUCCUACCGAUGAAUGUUCCGAUGAAAUUUUCGGAGAGCACCAGAGAACGGGGCUCCGCCUUGCAGAUCUGGAGGCUCAAAGUCACUUAAAUCUGAACAUUUCGAGGAAGGAGAAGUCGUAACAAGGUAGCCG